GCGAGGAUGGCGAAAUUGGUAGACGCGCACGGUUCAGGUCCGUGUGUCCUUAGGACGUGGGGGUUCGAGUCCCUUUCCUCGCACCA
RNAcentral lists this transfer RNA (86 nucleotides) under Nannocystis pusilla. RNAcentral describes it as "tRNA-Leu". It matches the Rfam family "tRNA". From Rfam's summary of the family: Transfer RNA (tRNA) molecules are approximately 80 nucleotides in length. The record is from RNAcentral. Lineage: Bacteria; Pseudomonadati; Myxococcota; Nannocystales; Nannocystaceae.